UUGAAUCUAAUUACGACUCACGCCAAUUUGGACAGAAUUUCUGACACCCAUGUGGUAAUUUUUGGGUCACACAUUGUAUCAUCACUUUUAUGUCUAAUUCUAGAGAUCGUUGAGCCAAUCUGGCAUUGAAUGACAGAAUCGAAGCUGUUCUUGAAUUUAAUGACGACUCGCGCCAAUCUGGAUAGAAUUUCUAACACCCAUGUGGUAAUUUUUGGGUCACACAUUGUAUCGUCACUUUAUAUCAUAAUUCUAGAGAUCGUUGAGCCAAUCUGGUAUUGAAUGACAGGACCGAAGCUGUUCUUGAAUUCAAUGACGACUCGCGCCAAUCUGGAUAGAAUUUCUGACAUCCUUGUGGUAAUUUUUGGGUCGUACAUUGUAUCGUCACUUUAUAUCAUAAUUCUAGAGAUCGUUGAGCCAAUCUGGUAUUGAAUGACAGGACCGAAGCUGUUCCUGAAUUCAAUGACGACUCGCGCCAAUCUGGAUAGAAUUUCUGAUAUUUUCGUAUGGCACUUUGUGAGUCUCAAUUAUAUUAUCACUUUAUGUCAUAAUUCUAGAGAUCGUUGAGCCAAUCUGGUAUUAAAUGAUAGGACCGAAGCUGUUCUUGAAUUCAAUGACGACUCGCGCCAAUCUGGAUAGAAUUUCUGAUAUUUUCGUAUGGUACUUUGUGAGUCUCAAAUUAUAUUAUCACUUUAUGUCAUAAUUCUGGAGAUCGUUGAGCCAAUCUGGUAUUGGAUGACAGGACAGCAAAUUGUAUAGAGACAUGAAGCAAUCUGCUAAUGAAUUUGACUUACAGGAAAAAACUUGAUUCGAACACGGACAGACCAAAAUAAGUGAGAAGUAUAUACGGCGCGUAUGAUAAAGAAGAUCGAGUGCUGGCAUCCGCGCUGUACUCGUGUUACCUGAUGUCAAAGGAGCUGGGUGAACAAGUUGAAACUUGUAGCUUAAAUAAGUAUGAACAGUUACUCGUGGAGAAAGACGUAGACACCGUUGACGGUUAAAAAUCAUCAUCAUAAUUUCGAAGGUGUAGCACUAAAAGCGAUGCCUGCUAAGUACUUUGAACAUGUCGAAUAAUUUAACAAACGUUAACGAAGAUGAUUUAUUCUACCCUUACGCGCAAGAUCCGCUUGCUGACUUCGAUGAAA
This is a long non-coding RNA of Pectinophora gossypiella (pink bollworm), 1142 nucleotides long. RefSeq lists it as uncharacterized. NCBI's taxonomy places the organism in Eukaryota, Metazoa, Arthropoda, Insecta, Lepidoptera, Gelechiidae. The record is from RefSeq and is a predicted model, not a curated record. The transcript has 3 exons.